GCAUCGGCAUGAGAUUAAUUUGGCGAAUUUAGCAAUGAACAAGAUUCGAAAAUGCGCUUUUGAUGAGUUGAUUGACCCAUGUCUUGGGCAUCAGUCAAAUGAGGUAGUUAAAAGAAUGAUAACUACAAUUGCAGAGCUGGCCUUUCAAUGCUUGCAACAUGAUAAAGAAAUGAGACCUUCUAUGGAUGAGGUAUUGGAAGAACUACAAAGAACUGAACGUGGGGAAUACGAAUUAGAGAAUAUAGAGGACGGACAUAAUGAUAACGACGUCUCAAAGAGUGUGGAGCUGCAACCUUCACAACCAGAUUGUGAUGAUAUUGCAUUGCUAAAGAAUAUUCAGCCACCUUCUUCACCU
Molecule: unclassified non-coding RNA, 355 nt
Filed under: Hevea brasiliensis (rubber tree)
Lineage: Eukaryota; Viridiplantae; Streptophyta; Magnoliopsida; Malpighiales; Euphorbiaceae
Source: RNAcentral